GACGAACGCUGGCGGCGUGCUUAACACAUGCAAGUCGAACGGAAAGGCCCUGCUUGCUUGGGGUGCUCGGGUGGCAGACGGGUGAGUAACACGUGAGUAACCUGCCCUAGACUUUGGUAUAACUUCAGGAAACUGGGGUUACUCCCGGACAGGAUCUCCCGUUGCGUGGUGAGGGUUGGAUCGUUUCGCCGGUCGGGGUUGGAUGCGCGGCUUAUCAGCUUGCUGGUGGGGUAGUGGCUUGCCAAGGCUUUGACGGGUAGCCGGCCUGGGAGGGUGACCGGCCACAUUGGGACUGGGAUACGGCCCAGACUCCUACGGGAGGCAGCAGUGGAGAAUAGUGCACAAUGUGCGGAAGCCGGAUACAGCAACGCCGCGUGCGAGAUGACGGCCUUCGGGUUGUAAACCGCUUUCGCCUGUGACGAAGCGUGAGUGACGGUAAUGGAUAAGAGGCACCGGCUAACUACGUG
RNAcentral lists this ribosomal RNA (467 nucleotides) under uncultured bacterium. RNAcentral describes it as "partial 16S ribosomal RNA". It matches the Rfam family "Bacterial small subunit ribosomal RNA", at positions 28 to 507 of the family's 1533-position model. The record is from RNAcentral.